CGUAGGGCGAAGCGUUAUCCGGAUUUACUGGGUGUAAAGGGAGCGUAGACGGAGCAGCAAGUCUGAUGUGAAAGGCAGGGCGUCAACCCCUGGACUGCAUUGGAAACUGUUGAUCUUGAGUACCGGAGAGGUAAGCCGGAAUUCCUAGUGUAGCGGUGAAAUGCGUAGAUAUUAGGAGGAACACCAGUGGCGAAGGCGGCUUAACUGGACGGUAACUGACGUUGAGGCUCGAAAGCGUGGGGAGCAAACAGGAUU
Molecule: ribosomal RNA, 255 nt
Filed under: uncultured bacterium
Lineage: Bacteria
Description: partial 16S ribosomal RNA
Rfam family: Bacterial small subunit ribosomal RNA
Source: RNAcentral